AGAAUUCCAUUCUUUAGAUAAAGAGUUCGAGGGUUUAUACUCGCUGCUGCCCGCAUGAGGUAAUAUUUUGGUGCUUCUAUUUGUUGUCAAAAGGGUCAAACAGCACCGAAAAUUCUAUAUUUUAAUUUUAAUAAAUCGAUACUUAUAUUUUUAUCAUAAUAAAUUAUUGGCUCGUUUCCUCUUAUCAUUUUAUUUAUUUUUUUUAUCAUGUUAUUUACCAUUUUUUAGUUUUUCGUGAAUAAACAUUAUACUCUUUCUAAUAAAUCUAAAAAUGUUUGUUAAUUUUAUUAUAAAUAUUAAAUUUAGUUUGAAGAUGCUGCAAAAUUAUAUCGUAACAAUAAAAAUUUUAGCUCAUAUAGAAUUUAACAUGAAACUAAAAUUAUUUAAAUUCUUUGGUUUUAAAAUCAAGAAGGUGCUUGUUUUCCAUGUUGACAUUAAAGUCUUUUAAUUGAAGUGUUGGAUUAUAACUUCUUUUUCAGUGUGUGUGUGUGUGUUUGUUGGUCAAGAGGUUUCCUUAUUAAUCUUUAGUUGAAUGUGGGUUUUUUUGGAUCCUGAUUUUUGUCGAUUCGGAUAGCUCAAUCAAUUUUUUAUGAUAUUUUUGUAAGUGUGAUAGAAUCAACCUACUACUCAAACUAUCUGUUCUUAGAUAAGAGUGCAAUAUCAUCUAAAUUUUAGUAUCUGUUUAUGAAAUCUUAUAGAUAUAUAUAUCUUCUAUUUGUCUCUUUGAUAACUUAUUAAGCUGGGAUUGAUUACUAGUUUCGAAUUGUUAUCUUUGCAUGUUUGAACAGUUUAUUAAACAUUUCUAUUUGUAAUCUUUGCAUGUUAAACGGUGUAUUAGCAUUUUUAUUGACCACCUUUUCGAGGAUAGAUUGCGGAUAUGUCUUCGGUUGCGGCAGCCAUAACAUGAGUCUUGCUUAAUCCUUGGAAACACAUACAAAGUUGCAUUAGUAGGUAUAAUUAUUUUGGUUAUCAGAGUUGGGUGGCAGCCCUAGGUUCACAUUAUUAAAGAGUAAUUAGGGGCCCCUCAUAUGAUGGCUUUAAGUAAAAGAUGGUAUCCCCCGCCCCUACCAAAAAUUGCUAUCCAAGUGAAGUGACCCGUAAUAAGGUCACGCUCACUCUCGUUUAAGUGAAGAAACAUGACUCUUUAGUCUUUACCCACUUUGUCAAUCAUAAACAUGUGCCGACGAGGAAAAUGCGCCUACAUACCACCUGCCUACUCACUAUAAUAAACAGUUUUGUUUUAUCUCUAAAAAGCUGUAUCACUAAUAUAUUCAAAUAAAUAUCUCUUACACGUGUUCAACCCAACCCGUUCCCCUGCUUUUGCCAACAACUAUACAGAAGCAAACUGUACAAUACAACACAUCUCACACUUCAAACUUGAAAGAAUAAUAAUUCCAUGUUGCAGAACACAAGGCUUCCUAAUCCUUAUUCAAAUUUACUAACUUACACUUAAACUUAUUCGGUUCUCUACACAAGAUAGUAGUGAUAUAUAGAUUCGUAACUUGCAUAUCGCUUUGUUUCAACAUAUUACCUUGUCCCUUUGUCCAUUGAGCAUGAACUGAGAAGCACCCUUGUUGCGGCCAGAAACCUUUGGAAGUUUCUAUUUUGCAGUCUCAUUCUUUAGAAAUGAUAAUAAACAAACUUCUUCAAGUGCAAAAGACUAGUAACUACUUACACCAAAUUUCAUACUACAAAAUAUAUCCCAAUCAUUCAUCAAACCUACCAACAGAAAUGGAGAGUAUUACACUCUUCACGUACCAUUCUUUCUUCAAGCAUUUCCCCAUUCAGGCUUCAGAAAAUUCUGUUCCACCGUUCAAACACGAUACAACUUUACCACUUGAUCAAUUUUUGCACGACAUACAGGGCAGCCCCAUUUCUUGGCUUUAAUCUCAUUCAGACAAGAAAUACAUCCAGCCACAUGACCACAGGGAACACAAGCCGCUUCAGAUGGAGCAUCCAAACAUACAACACAUGUUGAAGAAUCUCCACCUUUGUUUUCAGAAGCAGGUAAGUUCUCGACAGUUGAAAGCAUAUCAACAGGACUUGAGUCAAUUGAUGGAUACUCAAUUGGCCCAUCAUCUCUAACAUUAUCUGUGAUCGGUGGAGCUGAAGGGACAGACUCCGAGGCAUGGAUCGAUGUCUGGGAGGCAGGAACUAAAUUACUCUCCAUCUGGGUUUGCAGGGCUGCAAUGGCACUAGAGCCAGAUUCAUGCUUUGGCCACUCGAUGCCACUAGACGUCCCUGGUCUGUUUUGACUGCAUAUAUUCACAGCAUUUUUCC
This 2280-nucleotide long non-coding RNA is filed under the name Carica papaya (papaya). RNAcentral describes it as "long non-coding RNA (CPAP_LNC009124)". The record is from RNAcentral. Lineage: Eukaryota; Viridiplantae; Streptophyta; Magnoliopsida; Brassicales; Caricaceae.